RNAcentral lists this long non-coding RNA (1557 nucleotides) under Homo sapiens (human). RNAcentral describes it as "HSALNT0303098". Lineage: Eukaryota; Metazoa; Chordata; Mammalia; Primates; Hominidae. The record is from RNAcentral.
GCUCCUCUUAUCCUAGCUAGGCAAUCAGUUUAGGGCAAACAUAUUAGGUAGAAAGGGUAAAUGAAAAUGUUUUCCUAGCAUGCAGAGAUUUGUUUUUUUGGUUUCUUUUGCCAUAUUUCAAACAUGAGGGAGAAAAACAACAACAGAAUCUGAAGAUUUAUCAGCUUCUCCUAGUGGCGGUUUUAAGAAAACUGGAUACACACACAGGCACAUUGGAAACGCAGUAGAAAAUGGCUGCCAAUUUAAAACCAGAAGUUAAGAAGAGCAAACUCGAAUGUACAGCAAGAGAGCUUCAGGCUGGACUGGCUUCCAGCAGAAGUGGGACUGGAAACCUCGGAUUCUAUUGUCUCUUCUCUGUGAAGUGGGAAAACAUAGUGAACCCAGAGCACAUGGCUUUCCACCCGGACUGGUUGGUUACUGCUGCCCUAUUCUUUGAUGGAGAUAAACAAACAAACAAACAAACCUGAUUGCAAUGGUGCUUUGGAACCCCUAGAUCCUGAACUCCUUUGGGAGAGAUCUGAGAGUGGGAGCAGGGCCUUCUGCAGCCAAGUUAGCCUCCCAGGCUGGCUAAUAGCUGGGAGAACCUUGGCAUUUACCCAGGGAAACAUCCUAAUGUGUACCGUGGCAGGGCGUGGUAAAGAACCUAGAAACAUGUCAGUCAGUAGAAGGUGUGUUGGCCCCCGGAAAGCCAAGCAUUUGUCUGAUGAAGCAUAGAGUGAAUUCUGGCUUAUAUGUUUCAUCACUUGGCUGGGUCCUUCGUCAGAUGAAAAGGUAGCAGCUGAGAGCAUUAGCAGAAACAAUUGACGGGCUAAGCUCUCUGUGAGAGCAGCAGACUCAAUCGAGGAGGGCUGGAAGCCCAGGCGUGGGCUGUCAUGAGAAGUCCACUUGCAGCAGUGGCAGUGAUCCUCAUAAACACGGGCCCACCGUGCUCAGAGCCCCAUUUUCCCACUGACAUUGGCCAAGAUGCAUCCUGGCUGUGUGCAGACCCCAGAGAGAACUGCCCGAUAGUGGCAACACUGGCACAGUGGCCAGCCAAGGAGGGAAAAGCAAAGCAAAGAGGACUGAGGCAAAGCAAAGAGGACUGAAGAUAUGAAGACCCGUAUCUCUGCUGAGAAGAGCUCAUCAUAGAACAAGGACAAAUGGCCAGCAAGAUGCCAUGCCUGAAAAUAUUCAAACAUCAAGUCCCACUUCCUGGUCUUACCUAUGUCAUCGGAAGUGUGUAGAUUCUAGGCUGGAGAGCUACUUUUUUUCAAUAGGUGGAAACAAAAAUUCAUGAAGCAUCCUGAAAUUAUUGCUGAAUUCAGGGAUGAGGGCAGCUUCGAUUUCUUCUCUGAACUUGGAAUUGUUUGCUAGAUUUUGCAGGCUUGACUCCAGCAGUGCAGUUGUAGAAACAAGCCAGCAGCAGCAGCCACACCUAAGCUGGGUUGCGCCUUCCUGGGAGGUGUCCCUGCCAAGAUGGGAAAACCUGAGAUGCUCCCCAGUGGAUGCAAAUAUGUGGGAGAAAAUUGAAUAAAAUUUCCCCUGGGGUGCCCCCCAGGAAGCAUGCUUCCUCCUCCA